GUCAUCGGUUCAAAUCCGAUAAGGGGCUUUUGAGGUUU
This 38-nucleotide transfer RNA is filed under the name Teloxys aristata. RNAcentral's name for it is "Dysphania aristata partial tRNA-Thr". The record is from RNAcentral. Lineage: Eukaryota; Viridiplantae; Streptophyta; Magnoliopsida; Caryophyllales; Amaranthaceae.